This 765-nucleotide ribosomal RNA is filed under the name uncultured Streptococcus sp. Its description in RNAcentral is "bacterial SSU rRNA". It matches the Rfam family "Bacterial small subunit ribosomal RNA", at positions 28 to 776 of the family's 1533-position model. Lineage: Bacteria; Bacillati; Bacillota; Bacilli; Lactobacillales; Streptococcaceae. The record is from RNAcentral.
GACGAACGCUGGCGGCGUGCCUAAUACAUGCAAGUAGAACGCUGAAGAGAGGAGCUUGCUCUUCUUGGAUGAGUUGCGAACGGGUGAGUAACGCGUAGGUAACCUGCCUGGUAGCGGGGGAUAACUAUUGGAAACGAUAGCUAAUACCGCAUGAUAUUAAUUGUCGCAUGAUAAUUAAUUGAAAGAUGCAAUUGCAUCACUACCAGAUGGACCUGCGUUGUAUUAGCUAGUUGGUGAGGUAACGGCUCACCAAGGCGACGAUACAUAGCCGACCUGAGAGGGUGAUCGGCCACACUGGGACUGAGACACGGCCCAGACUCCUACGGGAGGCAGCAGUAGGGAAUCUUCGGCAAUGGGGGGAACCCUGACCGAGCAACGCCGCGUGAGUGAAGAAGGUUUUCGGAUCGUAAAGCUCUGUUGUAAGAGAAGAACGGGUGUGAGAGUGGAAAGUUCACACUGUGACGGUAUCUUACCAGAAAGGGACGGCUAACUACGUGCCAGCAGCCGCGGUAAUACGUAGGUCCCGAGCGUUGUCCGGAUUUAUUGGGCGUAAAGCGAGCGCAGGCGGUUAGAUAAGUCUGAAGUUAAAGGCUGUGGCUUAACCAUAGUAUGCUUUGGAAACUGUUUAACUUGAGUGCAGAAGGGGAGAGUGGAAUUCCAUGUGUAGCGGUGAAAUGCGUAGAUAUAUGGAGGAACACCGGUGGCGAAAGCGGCUCUCUGGUCUGUAACUGACGCUGAGGCUCGAAAGCGUGGGGAGCAAACAGG